Long non-coding RNA from Daktulosphaira vitifoliae (grape phylloxera), 2196 nucleotides. RefSeq lists it as uncharacterized. The transcript has 4 exons. NCBI's taxonomy places the organism in Eukaryota, Metazoa, Arthropoda, Insecta, Hemiptera, Phylloxeridae. The record is from RefSeq and is a predicted model, not a curated record.
UCAGUCAUGUUUUGUCGUUGUGGCACUCUGAGACGGCGAACUGCCUCUGAGCUCUCUCGCCGCCGCCGUAUGCCACAAGAAUACAUUAUACUUCAUGCCGCAUAAUUUCCACUGCAAACACACUCAUCUAUCAACGAUAUCCUUCACCUCCGUUCGUCUCAUUGUUGUCCUGCUCAGGAUUAUUCAAAUAUGGGAUUUUUCUGACUUAUUCUGAUUUUAGAUUUUGCAAAAAAGCUUUUUCACGUAUGUUUGUUCAAUGGAAAUUUAUGUAAUGAUCACGUGGUAUUUAACCAUUAAACGCAGUACUUUGUUUAAAAUAUAAAUACAAAAUGAAUAAAUGGUUGUGACCUCACAAGCAAAAUAGAUAAAAAAAAGAAUAAACCCCUUUUAAUAAUUUAUAAGUUUAACGUUAUGCGACGUCGGAAGAACACUUACACUGCACGUGUUCGCGUGCACAAUCUUUGCAUUAAAAAUUAAACGUUAAAAAAGUAGUGACUUGUGGGUGAACAUUGCAUGUGAUAUCAUGAAAGAAUGUUACUUAAAGGUGACUAACAUAAAAAGUGGAGAGAACGCAGACAGAAAAUGUGAGAAAAUACUCAAAGAAGUGGGAUGGAAUAAUGCAUUUCAUAAACUACUUAAUAAAACACUUGGCUUAUAUGAAAGCAUAAUGAGAUGGUGCAUAAACCUUCAUGUUAUUCAUGUUUAACUAUUUGAUCCGUACGGGUGGUCAAGUAUGAUUUUGAAACACAAUAACACAUUGUUAAACAAUAAAACAAAUUAAAGACGAUCCAUCACGAUUAAACAUUACAUUGAAAAAUAUUUAGACCCAGUGGGUAGUUUACAGUGAAUGCAACUACAUAUUUUGACAAGACAUCAUAAUCUCAAUUUUAUAAGAUUUUAAAAAUAUAUUACUUAUAAAAUGUAUGCUGUACAAUGUCGAUAGUGACGAAGUAUUUAGAGUUUCCAACUAAACUGGAUUUAGUCACAGCAUAUUAUUUAUCAUUAGAGUUGUCGACAAACUAUUUAAACGCAUCUGGAAAGUCCUUAAAUGGAAAUCGCAGGCAUUUAGAUUUUACAGUUUUACUUUAAUACUUAAGAUCUCUGUUUUAUCGUUCUAUUCGUACGCGAUCAUUUAUUCCGCAACAAAAUUAAUGUCAGUUACGAAGGUUAACAUAAGAGGGAGAUGUUUUAUGAUUGCAGUUCUUCGUUACUUUCUAAAGAAAUUGUUUUUUUUUUCUGAAAAUAUGAUAUCAGUUUUCUGGACUAUUAUUUUGAAAAUAAUAAUGUUGUUAACAUUAAAACAAAAAAUGAAUAGUAUGUUUUAAUUAGUUAUUUGCAAUUAUUGGUUAAAAAGGAUUGAUGAAAUUUGAUUACGGCUUUUUAUAAAUUUUAGUUCGUAUCAUGUUUUUAAAAAGCGUCUACACAGACAUAGAUGUCUGUAAUAACGCGUAUCUAUACGUUCACAACGAGAACCUCCGUAUCCAAUCGUCGUAUAAAGAAUUGAAAAAAAAGAAUUGUACUCAUGUCUCAUUGUUGACUUCGAAUCUUUGUGUGUGGGAAAUGGACGGGAAAUAGCACCACAGGAAUGUUGUCGACCAAAUUAUUUGAUUUGUGGGGAACAAUAAGACGAAAUUAUUUUUAAUGUUCGAUAACAAAUUGGAUAAAAAAUUCUGUUCCAUUAGUAAAUUAUAUUUUAAUAAUUAUUAGUAUUAUUAUAUUAGGAUUAUAAAAACGCUUUUUUAAAAAUCAAAGUUUAAAAUGUAAACUAUCAGUCUGUGAAAAGUUCAUUUCUGCAUUAAUUUUUUUUUAUUCUAUAUAACACAAGAAUUUUAUAGUGUGCCCUGCGGCGACAUUCACUGUCAACCUUAAAAAAAACCUUCAGAAAAUCCCUAACAAAUUUAACAUCACAGCCGUGCAAAACUUGCCAUAUCGUUUCUACGAAAUUAAUUGAAGUGUACACGAGAAUUCUUCUUAUCGAACACGAAAAAAACAAAUGGAUAUAAUAAUAUGUGUACUUGAGUGCAACAAACGUGCUUUGAACAUUAAUUACACUCAUAUGGGAAUCGUAUAAGUGUAUAAAACACAGCGGGACAUAACUCUAAAUAAGUCGCUAAUUUCUGUAACGCUAUUAUAAAAGUAAUAUAAAAUAGAUAUUAUUAGAUUCUAUAGUGAAACUGGCUUCAUCCAAACAUACAU